GACGAACGCUGGCGGCGUGCUUAACACAUGCAAGUCGAACGGAAAGGCCCUGCUUUUGUGGGGUGCUCGAGUGGCGAACGGGUGAGUAACACGUGAGUAACCUGCCCUUGACUUUGGGAUAACUUCAGGAAACUGGGGCUAAUACCGGAUAGGAGCUCCUGCCGCAUGGUGGGGGUUGGAAAGUUUCGGCGGUUGGGGAUGGACUCGCGGCUUAUCAGCUUGUUGGUGGGGUAGUGGCUUACCAAGGCUUUGACGGGUAGCCGGCCUGAGAGGGUGACCGGCCACAUUGGGACUGAGAUACGGCCCAGACUCCUACGGGAGGCAGCAGUGGGGAAUAUUGCACAAUGGGCGGAAGCCUGAUGCAGCAACGCCGCGUGCGGGAUGACGGCCUUCGGGUUGUAAACCGCUUUCGCCUGUGACGAAGCGUGAGUGACGGUAGUGGGUAAAGAAGCACCGGCUAACUACGUG
RNAcentral lists this ribosomal RNA (468 nucleotides) under uncultured bacterium. RNAcentral's name for it is "partial 16S ribosomal RNA". It matches the Rfam family "Bacterial small subunit ribosomal RNA", at positions 28 to 507 of the family's 1533-position model. The record is from RNAcentral.